Molecule: ribosomal RNA, 422 nt
Filed under: Biomphalaria sp. CJS-2010
Lineage: Eukaryota; Metazoa; Mollusca; Gastropoda; Planorbidae
Description: partial 16S ribosomal RNA
Source: RNAcentral
UAGUUUAAGGGAAUAAUCUUAAAUGUAUUCUGCCCAAUGAUUUUUAUUUUUAAUGGCCGCAGUACCUUGACUGUGCUAAGGUAGCAUAAUCAAUUGGCUUUUAAUUAAAGUCUAGAAUGAAAGGAAAAAUGAAGUAAUUCUGUCUUAAAGAAUAUUUUUUUAAUUUAUUUAUAUGAUGAAAAUAUCAUUUUUUAGAAAAAAGACGAGAAGACCCUUAGAGUUUUUAUAAUUUUUUUUGUUGGGGCGACAAGUAAACAAUUAAACUUUACUAAUUUUUAAAUCGAUUGAUUAAUAAGAUUAAUUAAACUACCUUAGGGAUAACAGCAUUAUAUUAUUUUAUGAUUGUGACCUCGAUGUUGGACUAGGAACUUUAUGGCUAGCCGUCAUAAAAGAUUUGUUCUGUUCGAACAAUUUUAUCCUAC